Long non-coding RNA from Betta splendens (Siamese fighting fish), 1980 nucleotides. Ensembl lists it as uncharacterized. The record is from Ensembl. NCBI's taxonomy places the organism in Eukaryota, Metazoa, Chordata, Actinopteri, Anabantiformes, Osphronemidae.
CUUGAGAUAACUUGAAAUGAAUUAAUUAAAUUGAAAUGAGUUUUGUGUUUUGUAACUAAGCAUGAUAAAUAUGUCCACAGGCUGUGACCCUUUGACCUCCCAGGUCUCUGUAAGUCAGUGGACCUAUUUUUGAUGUUAAAAUGCGUCAGGCAACACAUUAAGGUCAUUUUAUUUUUACUUUAAGCACACAUGUUAUCCUUAUAAAUGCAAAGUAAUGUAAAGUUUUCAUUAGGAGUAUUGGUAACAUUAAAGUUGGAGCAUCAUAUGUUGCAACUGUAAUAAACAAAUUCAUGACAAUGAAGAGGAACUUCUGGUAUGACAAAGGUGUGAAAAGUAGAUCUGAGUGGGAUUUUCUUGGGUCCGGUUCAUCUUCCUCGUCUCCCAGCCUCUUCCUCCUUCCUCUCUGCCGCAGCGUUACGGCAGCGGCCCGUUUAAAAGCAGAGGUAUUUACGACUCAGCUCUCUGCUCCUCCUGGGCUCCACAGAACAUGUGGGACUGGCAGAGUGACACCAGCGGUUUAAAGAUAGACAGGUUUCUGGCUAUUUUGUAUCACAGCCCAUCUGUCUGUCUGUACACCUGCCCGUCUGGUCACGGUUGCACACGUACAAAAUGGAGAGCCUGUGAACAAACAACCUCUGAAUCCGUCUGUUCAGACCUGAAAGGGCUCUACUAUAAUGUAGGUUAUAAAAAUAAAAUAUUACACAAUCAAACAUAUAAGUAUUAAAGUUUAAACACGGUCUUCAAGUAAAUGUGUCCAUCCAUUUUCAUUGGAAACGAACAAAACUUUUUCAUGAAAGUAUUUGUCGCCAUCUGCUGGUCAACAGAGGCAAUCGCAUACUUUUUGCCACAGGUGAAAUCAAUGUUGUGCUGAUGAUUCAAACACCUGUUUAAACCAAAGUGAGCGCGGCGGCGACGUUAGACCAGACGGGUAGUUUCUGAGUUCAGAGGGCGUCAUUCAUGUCUGUUAGGUGUUUUGAGAUUCUGAGAGGGAGCGGGUUAAUGAGAGAGCGCUGUUCUCAGGGGAAUCACAUCCCAUCGGGUCGACAGCUGCCCAGGACUCCGCCUAUGAUGGAUGUGAAGAAGCGCCUGGACUUCAGCUGUGAUUUCAGUGUGUCGUGUGAGGGGCCAUGUCUUGUUUCUGGGGCCGGCGGCGGAGACGGAGACGACCAGAACCAGAACCAGAACCGGACGUUUGAUUUCAGCACUCCUCCCGCAAAAGGACACGCUGCAGAACCGGACGAGCCCAAUUUCAUGCUGAAAGGGAUGAAGGGCUACCAGCUGACGGCCGAUGACAGGGAGUUCCUCAAAAGGCUGCAGGAAGAGCGAGUCAUUAAAAAAUACCAGGAAGACCUUGAAGACGUGCAGAGGCUGCUGAAAAAGGAGACCAUGGCGCUGGAGAUGGCGCACGCGUCCAGGAGGAAAGCGGAAGUGGAACUCGGAAAGUUUCCGUCCUGCGAGGAGCUCACACAGUGGCUCAAGGCGGUUCUGGAGGUCGUGGCCCCGACGGCCGACCUCACGGACCUGGACACGAAGUCCCUGCUGGCCGUGGUGACGGCGGAAGACGCCAGGGCGGCCGUGGACGAGAAGAAGCUCCAGCUGGUUCGACUGGAGGCCGCGGCGGCUGACAGGAGGAAGAAAGAGGCCGAAAUGAGAGGGUGGCAGGAAAAACAAAUCGCCAAUGAACAGCUGAGGAUCCAGGGACUGAUGAGCCAGUUAUCUGACCUGACCUCUGAACUUGCUCAACAAGAGGAAAUCUACAAGUCUCUUCAGAUGCAGAUCAAGAAACAGGAAGAAAGUGGAGCUGAUGCAGAGAAGGAAGAGGCCUCAGAUGAAGUACAAGCCAAAGGACAAGUGCAACGUGGACAAAAGGAGAAAAGAAAAGCACAGUAUAUACAUGAAGUCCAAAACGCAGACUAUACAUCUUACAAAAGGAGCAGCACAGUUUAUGCAGCAGUUUCCUGUGGCGAAGCAUGUAACUAA